RNAcentral lists this ribosomal RNA (510 nucleotides) under uncultured bacterium. RNAcentral describes it as "partial 16S ribosomal RNA". It matches the Rfam family "Bacterial small subunit ribosomal RNA", at positions 28 to 507 of the family's 1533-position model. The record is from RNAcentral.
GACGAACGCUGGCGGCGUGCUUAACACAUGCAAGUCGAACGAAGAGCGAUGGAAGCUUGCUUCUAUCAAUCUUAGUGGCGAACGGGUGAGUAACGCGUAAUCAACCUGCCCUUCAGAGGGGGACAACAGUUGGAAACGACUGCUAAUACCGCAUACGAUCUAAUCUCGGCAUCGAGGAUAGAUAAAAGGUGGCCUCUACAUGUAAGCUAUCACUGAAGGAGGGGAUUGCGUCUGAUUAGCUAGUUGGAGGGGUAACGGCCCACCAAGGCGAUGAUCAGUAGCCGGUCUGAGAGGAUGAACGGCCACAUUGGGACUGAGACACGGCCCAGACUCCUACGGGAGGCAGCAGUGGGGAAUCCUCCGCAAUAGACGAAAGUCUGACGGAGCAACGCCGCGUGAGUGAUGACGGCCUUCGGGUUGUAAAGCUCUGUUAAUCGGGACGAAAGGCCUUCUUGCGAAUAGUGAGAAGGAUUGACGGUACCGGAAUAGAAAGCCACGGCUAACUACAUG